AAGUCGUAACAAGGUUUCCGUAGGUGAACCUGCGGAAGGAUCAUUACAAAAUUCAAGGUCGCGAGCCUCCGAGCGCUUCGGCGUAAGGGGCAGCGGCCUGACCUUCUACCCACCCUUUGCCUAUGUGUACCCCUAUCGCUUCCUCGGCAGGCUCGCCUGCCGCCAGGAACCACGUAAACCCUUUGCAUUAUACAUCAACACUUCUGAUACCAACCAAAAUUAUUACAACUUUUAACAAUGGAUCUCUUGGUUCUG
This 255-nucleotide unclassified non-coding RNA is filed under the name air metagenome. RNAcentral's name for it is "partial contains small subunit ribosomal RNA, internal transcribed spacer 1, and 5.8S ribosomal RNA". The stretch from base 1 to 46 matches the Rfam family "Eukaryotic small subunit ribosomal RNA", at positions 1786 to 1831 of the family's 1831-position model. The record is from RNAcentral.